AUGGAAUCGCUACCUCAUGAGAGAUUUGUGUUGCUCUCGGUCACUCUUUGGGCUAUUUGGACUGCUCGACGUAAGGCUAUACAUGAAGGCAUCUUCCAAUCUCCUCAAGCAACUUUCCUUUUCAUCAAUAGUUUUAUAGGGGAGUUGGACUCUAUCAAACCAGCGACACCAUCCAUCAGCCGAGCACAACAACAGGAGAACAGAAGACAAAGACCGAAGGCUCCCCCUGCUGGAUUUGCAAAAAUACAUGUGGAUGCAGGUGUGCUUCGUGACAGAGGAGGAGCAGCUGCAGCUAUAUGCCGAGACAGUAACGGACAUUAUUUGGGCAGUUCUACACUAGUCAUUGAGGGGGUCGUCGAUCCUGCAGCCCUGGAAGCAAUAGCAUGCAGAGAAGGAAUUGCCCUGGCCCAAGAUCUCAACGUGCAAGACUUUGUUAUUGCAUGUGAUUCCAAACAAGUUGUCUCAGAUAUUAUGAACGGGAGUAGAGGUAGAUUUGGUAGUGAGAUUAAUAUCAAGCUAGCUCAGCUUCACUGUAAUCUAAUUUUUGAGAGUCGUGCUGCUAAUUAUGAAGCACAUAGUCUAGCCAAAUUUUUAUUUUCGAGAGGUCGGGGCGCCACGUCUGGCUUGCAACCCCACGACAUCAGGUGUAUCCCACACACUGUGGUCUUUGAUUAA
This 675-nucleotide ribosomal RNA is filed under the name Triticum aestivum (bread wheat). RNAcentral's name for it is "partial small subunit ribosomal RNA". Lineage: Eukaryota; Viridiplantae; Streptophyta; Magnoliopsida; Poales; Poaceae. The record is from RNAcentral.